GAUUUCGUGGUGUAACGGUAGCACACUCGGCGUGUAUUCGAGAAGUUCAGGUUCCAGUCCCGUCGAGAGCG
This 71-nucleotide transfer RNA is filed under the name Stegodyphus mimosarum. It matches the Rfam family "tRNA". Rfam says of the family: Transfer RNA (tRNA) molecules are approximately 80 nucleotides in length. Their secondary structure includes four short double-helical elements and three loops (D, anti-codon, and T loops). Lineage: Eukaryota; Metazoa; Arthropoda; Arachnida; Araneae; Eresidae. The record is from Rfam by way of RNAcentral.